RNAcentral lists this ribosomal RNA (84 nucleotides) under Escherichia coli. RNAcentral describes it as "partial 16S ribosomal RNA". It matches the Rfam family "Bacterial small subunit ribosomal RNA", at positions 1 to 82 of the family's 1533-position model. Lineage: Bacteria; Pseudomonadati; Pseudomonadota; Gammaproteobacteria; Enterobacterales; Enterobacteriaceae. The record is from RNAcentral.
UUAAAUUGAAGAGUUUGAUCAUGGCUCAGAUUGAACGCUGGCGGCAGGCCUAACACAUGCAAGUCGAACGGUAACAGAAAGAAG